This 465-nucleotide ribosomal RNA is filed under the name uncultured bacterium. RNAcentral's name for it is "partial 16S ribosomal RNA". It matches the Rfam family "Bacterial small subunit ribosomal RNA", at positions 339 to 795 of the family's 1533-position model. The record is from RNAcentral.
CUACGGGGUGCUCCAGUGGGGAAUGUUGGACAAUGGGGGAAACCCUGAUCCAGCAAUGCCGCGUGUGUGAAGAAGGCCUGCGGGUUGUAAAGCACUUUCGGUUGGGAGGACUGCUUCUAGCACUAAUAUUGUUGGAAGUUGACGUUACCUUCAGAAGAAGCACCGGCUAACUCCGUGCCAGCAGCCGCGGUAACACGGAGGGUGCAAGCGUUAAUCGGAAUUACUGGGCGUAAAGCGCGCGUAGGCGGCUAGAUCAGUCGGGUGUGAAAGCCCCGGGCUUAACCUGGGAACUGCAUCCGAUACUGUCUAGCUUGAGUACAGGAGAGGGGAGUGGAAUUCCACAUGUAGCGGUGAAAUGCGUAGAUAUGUGGAGGAACACCAAUGGCGAAGGCAGCUCUCUGGCCUGAUACUGACGCUGAGGUGCGAAAGCGUGGGGAGCAAACAGGAUUAGAUACCCGCGUAGUC